GUGAGGAAUAUUGGACAAUGGAGGAAACUCUGAUCCAGCCAUGCCGCGUGAGUGAUGAAGGCCUUCGGGUUGUAAAGCUCUUUCGGGUGUGAAAAUGAUGAUGGUAACACCAGAAGAAGCCCCGGCUAACUCCGUGCCAGCAGCCGCGUUAAUACGGAGGGGGCGAGCGUUGUUCGGAAUCACUGGGCGUAAAGCGUGCGUAGGCGGUUAUACAAGUCAGGAGUGAAAUCCCAGGGCUCAACCUUGGAAUUGCUUUUGAGACUGUAUGACUAGAGAUCUAGAGAGGUUGGGGGAAUUCCGAGUGUAGAGGUGAAAUUCGCAGAUAUUCGGAGGAACACCAGUGGCGUAGGCGCCCAACUGGCUAGAUACUGACGCUGAGGCACGAAAGCGUGGGGAGCAAACAGGAUUAGAAACCCGUGUAGUCC
RNAcentral lists this ribosomal RNA (425 nucleotides) under uncultured bacterium. RNAcentral describes it as "partial 16S ribosomal RNA". It matches the Rfam family "Bacterial small subunit ribosomal RNA", at positions 354 to 796 of the family's 1533-position model. The record is from RNAcentral.